Panthera uncia (snow leopard) is the source of this 1315-nucleotide long non-coding RNA. RefSeq lists it as uncharacterized. Lineage: Eukaryota; Metazoa; Chordata; Mammalia; Carnivora; Felidae. The transcript has 3 exons. The record is from RefSeq and is a predicted model, not a curated record.
CAGGUCUUUCCCUGGGACAAAAUUAAUGCCUUCGUCUUCCCUUCAGCCACAGGUUGCCUCCAAUUCCCCCAGCCCCAGCCCACAGCAGCAUUUCUCAUAGCUGUAAUUGGUCAUGGACCUAUCUCUCCUCCCACACUGUGAGCAACUUCUACAAGCCACUCUUCAGCUCCUGGCUUUCCGUAUGAUAUUAAACAGGUGAUCUCUCCUCUUUGGGUUUCAGAGCUUCCAGAAAAGUAAGAAAAAUGAGGCUCAGACUUGGCAAGGCUCUCACCAAUGCCUGCUUUCUACAUCACAGUGCCUGGCAUACGGUGAUCAUAGAGAGUAGUGUUGCUGUUACUAUGGUUACCUGACCUUUGUCCAAAGGUGGAUCAUGUAAGUAUGAAUGUCUGCAGAGGUACAAAAUGACACAGAGCUGAGCCAGGACUGGGGACAAGGAAAAGUAACACUGUCAUGUGCCAGAGGGAGCUCUUGAGAAAUGCCUCUUAUUAAAUUACCUGAUGGCUCCAUCAUGUAGAGGCCUGAAUUAGGUGAAAGCUUACCUGCAACAAUGCCUCCUGAAAUAAAACACCCUCAUGUUCAUCUGUCCCAGGUAACACCUGUGAUUGCUCAUCCACCGUGGGGUGCCUGGGUAACUGGCUCAGAAAAAAAGUGAAACACCAUCGCGCAUUAUCCCCCACAAAGGAUUAGACAACCGAGGGAUUCCAAUGAUCUGACCUUCCCGUGUCCAUGAUGACCAGCUGGCUGUUGAUAACAGUGGUUACGUGACCCUGAGCUUGAUGAUUCAACUGGCAGAAACAGCAAACAGGAGAUUCUUCCACUUGCCAUCAACAAGGGGUAACCAAGAGUAACGCUGUACUUAGUUGAUCAUCUUCUCAGCCUACUGACCCAAAGGGACGGAACUGUUAAAGUUAAAUACAAAAUGGGGAGCGGACUUGAAAAUUCCCUGAGUGGAAGAAAACCUUUUAAGCCACACAAGCGAAACUUAAUUUCGAUGAUUCUGCAAAAUAACUGAAAGUGAACUUGGGCCACUUCUUGUAAUUGCCAGAUAAUCAUUAAAACAAAAACAAAAACAAAAAAACAAACAAAAAACCCCUUAUGUCCUCUUUAUAAAAAUGAUGUGAGAUAACUACUUUUAACUAAUCCCUUGCAACCUGGGAACUCUCAUGGUAAUAACCAGUCACUGGAAAUGUUAAAACAGCUUGCCCACUUUCACUGCAUUAACCACCCUGUACAUCAGGCCCCUGAGCGCCAUAUCAUCUUUGAAUUCAAAAGCUCUCAUUGGUGAACUGUUCUUAAUAUGCACAAUAAACUCUUA